Molecule: ribosomal RNA, 450 nt
Filed under: uncultured bacterium
Lineage: Bacteria
Description: partial 16S ribosomal RNA
Rfam family: Bacterial small subunit ribosomal RNA
Source: RNAcentral
CCUACGGGUGGCUGCAGUGAGGAAUAUUGGUCAAUGGUCGAGAGACUGAACCAGCCAUGCCGCGUGCAGGAAGAAGGCCUUAUGGGUUGUAAACUGCUUUUGUACGGGAGAAAAAAGACAGUCGCGCAUUGUCAUUGAUAGUACCGUAAGAAUAAGGAUCGGCUAACUCCGUGCCAGCAGCCGCGGUAAUACGGAGGAUCCAAGCGUUAUGCGGUUAAAGUGGGUUUAGGCGGAUCGUUAAGUCAUUAUUGAAAGGCUAAAGCUUAACUUUAGAAGUGGCAUUGAUACUGGUAGUCUUGAGUACAGAUGAAGUGGGCGGAAUGUGUCAUGUAGCGGUGAAAUGCAUAGAUAUGACACAGAACACCGAUUGCGAAGGCAGCUCACUAAGUUGUAACUGACGCUGAGGCACGAAAGCGUGGGGAUCAAACAGGAUUAGAUACCCCUGUAGUC